This is a long non-coding RNA of Erigeron canadensis, 1560 nucleotides long. RefSeq lists it as uncharacterized. The transcript has 3 exons. The record is from RefSeq and is a predicted model, not a curated record. Lineage: Eukaryota; Viridiplantae; Streptophyta; Magnoliopsida; Asterales; Asteraceae.
GACUUCCUAUAAAACAAUCCAAACUUUUUUCACAUAUACAUACAUACAUUUUGAAACACCAAAAACCCUAAUCAAUCAAUCCUCUACUUUUAAAUGAAAUACUCUUAAUUUGUUGUUACCAUCAAACAUAGAGCUUUUAUUCAUCCUCUUAGAUGAUGUGAUGACAAUACCAUAUAUCUAUCCGUAGCCAACAUAGAAUCUUUCACCUUGUAAAUUCUUUUAUGCAUAUGUAGAAUCAUGAUGCACCGCAUUUGGUAUCAACAUGGUUAGGUUGAAUGUAGAUUUUGAAACGACAUGCUUAAUGCGGUUAUUUUUGGUUGAUCUACAUUGACUAUUCCGGACUACUGAGAUUAGUCGGCUCGCAAAACGGGCUGGAUACUUAUUUUAUAUUAAAAAAAAAAACACAAAUUUGAGCCUCUCUUUGGUUAAAUCUUUACAAAGAUGACAGCUCUACUGCGUCCCCCACAUGUAGAUGGCAGCUCUCGCCAGUAUAAUACGGCUAUACAGCGGGGAUCGAACCUGAGACCUUAAGGUUAUCAAGUGUUUGCCUUACCACUAGGCUAAUCCUUGAAAGAGGGACGAUGAUUUACUUAAGCCAAAGGACUUUUCCGCUUUACAUGAUGCUAAGAGUGAAGCUAAGUAGAAAUUUUUUUAAAAUAUACGGGCAUCAUCACGGGCAUUUCUUGGAGUGUCGCCUGAUAAAGGAAGAAUCUUUCUACCAAUUGAAAGAGUGUACUUCAGUUUCUAGUUUUUGUGCAGUGGCCAGAUGAAGUAUAGAGGCAUUAUGAUCCUUCUAAGAGAAGCCAUGCAACGAAGACUAGUAUGGUUUCCAAACCAAUUUCAUUAUAUGCAUGGUUAGAUGAUUACCUCAAUGAAGAACUAUUGGGAGAUAACUGGAAGUGCCCUAAUUGCAUGGAGUAUGGCAGUGCCGAAUAGAAAUUCGAUCUCUGUAGAUUAGUAGAUUUUCUCAUUAUUUAGUUGAAGAGAUUUUUUUAUACAAGUUCUGACUCUAGGAAGUUGGAUACUUUUAUUGACUUCCCUAUCCAUAAUUUGGACCUAUCAAAAUACACCCCGCAUAAGGAUGCCCAACAUCCUCACUGUAAGAGAUAUGUUGUCAACAUGGUGGAGAUGAUAGUGGCCAAUUGCACUUUCUUAAUGUGGGAAAUAGUGAUAUAACUGAUGACAGAAAGGUAUCUCUCAUUAGUGAUGCCUAGGUUAAGACACCUGCAGCGUAUGUUCUAUUCUUCAAGAGAAUUUGAGAUGUUGACUCGACAUGUAUCAAGAUGGUAGAUUUUUUGUUACGGAGUAUCCAACGGUUUGAGGUAGAAAAGGAAAACCUUUAAAGUUUUUUGUUUCUUUCUAGGUUUGUUUACUUUUAAAAAAGAAACAAAAUGGGAAACUAGAAGUAUCACUACUUUUUUAUUAUGUUGGUUACUAGUUAGAAUGGUGAUAAAAAAAAAAUCGUUUCAAGGAAGGCAUAAACAUUUAACCUUGUGGUUAUUAAAAUGCAAAAUAUCUUGUCCUUAUCUUCUCUUUGCUUUGGCUAUUAAUCACGUGAUU